This 570-nucleotide ribosomal RNA is filed under the name Mesorhizobium sp. D187b. RNAcentral describes it as "bacterial SSU rRNA". It matches the Rfam family "Bacterial small subunit ribosomal RNA", at positions 32 to 649 of the family's 1533-position model. The record is from RNAcentral. Lineage: Bacteria; Pseudomonadati; Pseudomonadota; Alphaproteobacteria; Hyphomicrobiales; Phyllobacteriaceae.
AACGCUGGCGGCAGGCUUAACACAUGCAAGUCGAGCGCCCCGCAAGGGGAGCGGCAGACGGGUGAGUAACGCGUGGGAAUCUACCCAUCUCUACGGAACAACUCCGGGAAACUGGAGCUAAUACCGUAUACGUCCUUCGGGAGAAAGAUUUAUCGGAGAUGGAUGAGCCCGCGUUGGAUUAGCUAGUUGGUGGGGUAAUGGCCUACCAAGGCGACGAUCCAUAGCUGGUCUGAGAGGAUGAUCAGCCACACUGGGACUGAGACACGGCCCAGACUCCUACGGGAGGCAGCAGUGGGGAAUAUUGGACAAUGGGCGAAAGCCUGAUCCAGCCAUGCCGCGUGAGUGAUGAAGGCCCUAGGGUUGUAAAGCUCUUUCAACGGUGAAGAUAAUGACGGUAACCGUAGAAGAAGCCCCGGCUAACUUCGUGCCAGCAGCCGCGGGUAAUACGAAGGGGGCUAGCGUUGUUCGGAAUUACUGGGCGUAAAGCGCACGUANGCGGAUACUUAAGUCANGGGUGAAAUCCCGGGGCUCAACCCCGGAACUGCCUUUGAUACUGGGUAUCUCGAGUCC